CCACUUACCCGGCUAAUCAGGAUCCAUAUAACGGUAACGGUCUCACAAACCCAUGGUGACCCACUUCAUCCCAAUUCCACACAAACAAGGCACAACAAUAUCACAUCACAAGUAAUCAAGCAAUAUUUAAUAUCAACAAAUAGUGCAUCACAAUAUGGCAAUAAUGCAUGAUAACAUUUAGCCGUGAAUGCAUGAAUGCAGGCGGAUGAGGCGAAUUAUCUAACACUACUCACAGUUCUUUAUUGUCCUUUAAAGGACUAUCUUUAUUACUGCACGCUUCCAGCUUUUGUCU
Molecule: long non-coding RNA, 292 nt
Filed under: Jatropha curcas
Lineage: Eukaryota; Viridiplantae; Streptophyta; Magnoliopsida; Malpighiales; Euphorbiaceae
Description: long non-coding RNA (JCUR_LNC000667)
Source: RNAcentral